This 1440-nucleotide ribosomal RNA is filed under the name Lacticaseibacillus paracasei. RNAcentral describes it as "bacterial SSU rRNA". It matches the Rfam family "Bacterial small subunit ribosomal RNA". Lineage: Bacteria; Bacillati; Bacillota; Bacilli; Lactobacillales; Lactobacillaceae. The record is from RNAcentral.
GCAGUCGAACGAGUUCUCGUUGAUGAUCGGUGCUUGCACCGAGAUUCAACAUGGAACGAGUGGCGGACGGGUGAGUAACACGUGGGUAACCUGCCCUUAAGUGGGGGAUAACAUUUGGAAACAGAUGCUAAUACCGCAUAGAUCCAAGAACCGCAUGGUUCUUGGCUGAAAGAUGGCGUAAGCUAUCGCUUUUGGAUGGACCCGCGGCGUAUUAGCUAGUUGGUGAGGUAAUGGCUCACCAAGGCGAUGAUACGUAGCCGAACUGAGAGGUUGAUCGGCCACAUUGGGACUGAGACACGGCCCAAACUCCUACGGGAGGCAGCAGUAGGGAAUCUUCCACAAUGGACGCAAGUCUGAUGGAGCAACGCCGCGUGAGUGAAGAAGGCUUUCGGGUCGUAAAACUCUGUUGUUGGAGAAGAAUGGUCGGCAGAGUAACUGUUGUCGGCGUGACGGUAUCCAACCAGAAAGCCACGGCUAACUACGUGCCAGCAGCCGCGGUAAUACGUAGGUGGCAAGCGUUAUCCGGAUUUAUUGGGCGUAAAGCGAGCGCAGGCGGUUUUUUAAGUCUGAUGUGAAAGCCCUCGGCUUAACCGAGGAAGCGCAUCGGAAACUGGGAAACUUGAGUGCAGAAGAGGACAGUGGAACUCCAUGUGUAGCGGUGAAAUGCGUAGAUAUAUGGAAGAACACCAGUGGCGAAGGCGGCUGUCUGGUCUGCAACUGACGCUGAGGCUCGAAAGCAUGGGUAGCGAACAGGAUUAGAUACCCUGGUAGUCCAUGCCGUAAACGAUGAAUGCUAGGUGUUGGAGGGUUUCCGCCCUUCAGUGCCGCAGCUAACGCAUUAAGCAUUCCGCCUGGGGAGUACGACCGCAAGGUUGAAACUCAAAGGAAUUGACGGGGGCCCGCACAAGCGGUGGAGCAUGUGGUUUAAUUCGAAGCAACGCGAAGAACCUUACCAGGUCUUGACAUCUUUUGAUCACCUGAGAGAUCAGGUUUCCCCUUCGGGGGCAAAAUGACAGGUGGUGCAUGGUUGUCGUCAGCUCGUGUCGUGAGAUGUUGGGUUAAGUCCCGCAACGAGCGCAACCCUUAUGACUAGUUGCCAGCAUUUAGUUGGGCACUCUAGUAAGACUGCCGGUGACAAACCGGAGGAAGGUGGGGAUGACGUCAAAUCAUCAUGCCCCUUAUGACCUGGGCUACACACGUGCUACAAUGGAUGGUACAACGAGUUGCGAGACCGCGAGGUCAAGCUAAUCUCUUAAAGCCAUUCUCAGUUCGGACUGUAGGCUGCAACUCGCCUACACGAAGUCGGAAUCGCUAGUAAUCGCGGAUCAGCACGCCGCGGUGAAUACGUUCCCGGGCCUUGUACACACCGCCCGUCACACCAUGAGAGUUUGUAACACCCGAAGCCGGUGGCGUAACCCUUUUAGGGAGCGAGCCGUCUAA